AUAUCGUAAUAUGUAAACAAGCAACACAAUAACUAGCUAAGACGUGACAGCGUAUAUCUACCAAACAAAGGUUGUCAAAUUAGAAUCAAAUCACAUUUGACCGCAUUUUCCAAUGAGUAAGAACAUAAACCUGCAUUAUAACUGGUAUCUUUAAUCUAAACGCAAAAUACAAAUUUAUAUGAAGUCUCUUUCACUGGAUACAAUCUAGAUGUCCGAAAGGACAACGACGCAAGCAGCAGGGUUCCAGAUGAGGGUCAAUAUCCCACUGUGGACUCAUACGAACUUUGUGGAUUACCAGUAAUUGUUUGGAAACUGAAAUAUUUUGUAGCCGUAAAGAAAAAUGCCAAUCUUUGGAUCUUCCGUCGCAGAUGCAAUGUAACUCAACAAGUGAAAGGAUUCUCUUCAUAUAAAAGUAAUUUCCUUUGAAAGUUGUUAUUUUGAAGACAGGACUAUGUCUCUUAUAAAAUAUUUAACUCCUUCAUUUUUUUAUGAAUAAACUUAUAAAUAUAUAAAACCUUCGUAGUUUUGAGAACAAGCUACAAAAGACCAUUAGCGUCUUAAAACUUACCAUCAUUAUAUACUGAAGUCUCUGAAACAAGGUUUUGAAUUAUUAAUGAACCUUGUUAUAUUGUUUCUCAUUAAUCAUAAACGACACAUGAAAAAUGUUUCACAGACUUGAGUCUGAUAGAGUUUUUAUUCAAUACAACACAGGCACAGAUUCACACACACACACAAACGACUCAAUCAUACAUUAACACGCACAUACACAUACACGCACACACACACACACACACACACACACACAAACACACACACACAUACAUAUAUUCAUAUGUGUAUGUAUAUAUUUAUAUAUAUGUAUGUAUGCGUAUGUUACUAUUUAACAAAUUUUAUUCAACUUUCUCUCUUUUAUACAACCGUGACUUUUUUUCCUGUGACUUUUUUUCCGUUACAUUUUUACUUGUGACAUUUUUCACCGGGAUUCUUCGUAACAUGUAACGUGCUUUCGCCAUUGCUUUAAGAGCGUACCUACUCAGGAGAAGAAUCCAGGUAAAAUGUCACAGGAAAAAAAGUCACGGAAAAAGGUUCAGAGGUAAAAAAAAGUCCGGGGUGGGGGCUCUGUCCAAGUGGGUUUUGUCCUCGUGGGGUUUUGUCUGGAUCUCGUAAAUUGUGACUUUUUCCCUGUGAUUUUAUUACCGGUGACCAUAAAUCAAUUGUGACUUUUUUCUUAGCCAAAAUUAUAACUUUAUUACCAUGACUUCUUUUUCUGUGAUUUUAUUACCUGUUACCGUUACGUUACGAACACAUACUCGUUUGCAUAUAACGGCAGUUCUAGCUCAAUUGCCGGAACGUUUAUAAUCCUCAUUCCCCAAAUUUAUUGAACAACCAUUUAAUUUCAUUUAGUAAUAUACAUAUACGUACCACAGCAUAUAUACAGUGUUGAUUUGUAUACAGAGUGUCCAUAAAUAACUUUAUAAUUUGAAAAAUUCAGAAAAAAAUGCGAUCUGAGGAUAACUGAACAGAGGUUAUGGAAAAAUAUAAGUGAACAAAUAACGUUUUAUCAGAAGCAUCCAAACACUUCUCACGUGAGCCGCUUUGGUUGCAAAGAUGUUGAUUGAUGGUUCUCAACUUUAAUAGAUGCAAUAAACUGUGGAAGUUGUAAAGAUAAUUUAUGGAUACGCUGUAUAUAAACAUGUUUUAUUGCCUUGUUUCCAUGCCAAAUCAGCAUCUGCAUGCCGAACUUUGCAUUAUUUAUCGUCUGUGAUAAGAAACUUACGACUGUUUUACAUGUUUAAGGGAAAUAAUUCUAGUAUACAUUUUUCUACAUUUUUAUACAUUUUAUAUAAGAUUUAUACAUUUCAAAAUGAAUGCAGUUAUUCAGAUUAAACAUAUAUACACGAAGAGAGGUUGACAGUAACUUCGAAGUUUUCGCCGGAUGUUGUUCACCAUACUAUCCGAAAAAACUAGAAGCACCAAAAUCUAAGUUGCUGUCACCCCCUCCUCAGUCUUUUAAAAGUUAAAAUAAAUGUGUGCUAUACUAAACGCAUUGAAAAAUUCUUUAGUAGAAAGUUAUAGUGCUUUUAGUAUAAUUCGAAUAAAAGACAAAAAAAGUGUAUACAUAUGUAUAUGUAUAUGUAUGUAUAUGUAUAUGUAUGUAUACACACAUAUAUAUAUAAUACAUACAUAUAUACAUAUAUAUAUAUAUAUAUAUAUAUUUCGUAUGUGUAUUUCGUGUGCAAGAUUCUUGAUGUGGAUACGUGUGUUGAAAGAAAUACAAUUAAACCUUGGGAGAGGCAUUAUAUAUAUAUAUAUACAUAUAUACAUAUAUAUACAUAUAGGCGCAGGAGUGUCUGUGUGCUAAGUAACUUGCUUACCAACCACAUGGUUGUGGGUUAAGUCCCACUGCGUUGCACCUUGGGUUAGUGUCUUCUGCUAUAGCCUCGGGGUGACAUAAGCCUUGUGAGUGGAUUUGCUAGACGGAAACUGAAAGAAACCUGUCGUAUAUAUGUAUAUGUAUAUGUAUAUAUAUGUGUGUGUAUGUUUGUGUGUCUGUGUUUGUCCGCCCGUACAUCGCUUGACAACCGAUGCUGGUGUGUUUACGUCCCCGUAUCUUUGGCAAAAGAAACCGAUAGAAUAAGUACUAGGCUGACAAAGAAUAAGUCCUGGAGUCGAUUUGCUCGACUGAAGGCGGUGCUCCAGCAUGGCCGAAAUCAAAUGACUGAAACAAGUAGUAAAGAGAGUAAAGAAUAUAUAUAUAUGUAUAUACAUAUAUACAUCUAUGUAUACAUAUUUGUGUAUAUACAUACAUACACUCAUACACACACACACGC
Long non-coding RNA from Octopus bimaculoides (California two-spot octopus), 2831 nucleotides. RefSeq lists it as uncharacterized. Lineage: Eukaryota; Metazoa; Mollusca; Cephalopoda; Octopoda; Octopodidae. The record is from RefSeq and is a predicted model, not a curated record.